Molecule: small nucleolar RNA, 130 nt
Organism: Phyllostomus discolor (pale spear-nosed bat)
Lineage: Eukaryota; Metazoa; Chordata; Mammalia; Chiroptera; Phyllostomidae
Product: small nucleolar RNA SNORA51
Exons: 1
Source: RefSeq, a predicted model, not a curated record
GGCCUCCUGGGGCUCCCCACAGGCCGUGUUCUCACGCUGACUACAGAAAGAAGAGGCAGAGUAAAGGCACCUAGUGAGCACCUCAGCUCAGGUCCUUCGCCUGGUCUGUAUUGUGAAUGGGGGGACAUGG